AUUUGCUCAAGGGGAGGCCAGGACAAGAAAUAAUGAAGAGUCCGAUGUGGCAGGAAUGUAGGAAACAAGUCAAUGAUGGAAGAUAAAUAUGGAGACGUGAUGAAGGCAAAAUUCUGAAGGGUCUUAGAGCCCAUUAUAAGACGUUUGGUUUUUAUGAAUAUUUCACUGAUUGCCUUGCCCGCUUCUCAAAGGCCCACUUCUCUGUGGAAUGAUGCAGUUGCUAAGAAGAGCUGUUAAUGUCAUGACCUCAAUGAAUAAAAAAGACUUCCUUUUCUCCAUGCCCACUCAAGUAAAAGGCUUCUCUCUGAACUCCUGCUAAUUUUUCAUCAGCAAAGGUGCACAGCCUUUUGGAAGUGAAAUGAUUACUAGUGAAGAAAAAGAAAGAACCUAACACUUAUUUUACAAGCCUCCCAGUGACCACUCUUCAGACAAAACUUCUUAUAAUAGCUUCCUUCCCUGAAUCUUUUGCGAAACAUCAAAUCACAAAGAGAUCUUAUUUCUGGCAAGGAAGACUCAUAUAUGACUCCUGGUACAUGGGUACAAGGAUUCUAUAGGCUAUAUACCUAAUCGUGGAAUUGUUGAGUCUCAGAGUAUUCAAAUGUUCAACUUGACACAUUAUCAUGAAACUGUUCUCCAGAGUGGCUUUCCAAUUUACUCUUCCACCAAAAAUGUGUUCCUAUUGAUCUACAUCUUCUCUAGAAC
This 702-nucleotide long non-coding RNA is filed under the name Homo sapiens (human). Its description in RNAcentral is "non-protein coding lnc-PDGFD-1:1". Lineage: Eukaryota; Metazoa; Chordata; Mammalia; Primates; Hominidae. The record is from RNAcentral.